Long non-coding RNA from Panicum virgatum (switchgrass), 406 nucleotides. RefSeq lists it as uncharacterized. NCBI's taxonomy places the organism in Eukaryota, Viridiplantae, Streptophyta, Magnoliopsida, Poales, Poaceae. The transcript has 2 exons. The record is from RefSeq and is a predicted model, not a curated record.
GAUCGAUUUGCAGCUUCAGCGGCCGGCCCUUUGAAAAACUCGAUGAUGUUCUUGCACGCCUCCUUGGGCUUCUCAAGAUUGACUGCGUGCCCAGCGUUUUUGGUGACAACCAAUCGAGAAUUCCCCUCUAGAUGCCUGUCAAUUGUGUCAGGGCACCCAAGGCGGCUACAAUGAUUCUAAGCCUUUCACUUGCUGACAAUGGCGCCUCACUGACUGUAUGAAGUGGUGAAAAAUUUGCACCGAGCUGAUUGCUGAUGGGUUCUGUAGUAGCCUGACAUGUAGAUUUCGCGAGAUUAUGGUGCUGUAAAAUAGUAGCUGAGAAUGUGCGUCUGCAGUCUGCACUCCAAAUACCCUAGCUGCUGUCUGAACACCUAUAAUGUAGCCAAGAAUGCCUGUAUUUUGUGUG